This 206-nucleotide ribosomal RNA is filed under the name uncultured bacterium. RNAcentral's name for it is "partial 16S ribosomal RNA". It matches the Rfam family "Bacterial small subunit ribosomal RNA", at positions 568 to 774 of the family's 1533-position model. The record is from RNAcentral.
CACGCAGGCUGAAUUAUAAGUCGGUAGUCAAAGGCGGAGGCUCAACUUCCGUUUAUCUAUCGAAACUGUAAAUCUAGAGUAUGUGAGAGGGAAGUGGAAUUCCGGUGUAGCGGUGAAAUGCGUAGAUAUCGGGAGGAACACCAGUGGCGAAGGCGGCUUCCUGGCACAAUACUGACGCUCAUGUGCGAAGGCUAGGGUAGCGAACG